This 426-nucleotide ribosomal RNA is filed under the name uncultured bacterium. RNAcentral's name for it is "bacterial SSU rRNA". It matches the Rfam family "Bacterial small subunit ribosomal RNA", at positions 40 to 507 of the family's 1533-position model. The record is from RNAcentral.
CGGCAUGCCUAACACAUGCAAGUCGAACGAGACCUUCGGGUCUAGUGGCGCACGGGUGCGUAACGCGUGGGAACCUGCCUUUAGGUUCGGAAUAACUCAGAGAAAUUUGAGCUAAUACCGGAUAAUGUCUUCGGACCAAAGAUUUAUCGCCUUUAGAUGGGCCCGCGUUGGAUUAGCUAGUUGGUGGGGUAAAGGCCUACCAAGGCGACGAUCCAUAGCUGGUCUGAGAGGAUGAUCAGCCACACUGGGACUGAGACACGGCCCAGACUCCUACGGGAGGCAGCAGUGGGGAAUAUUGCGCAAUGGGCGAAAGCCUGACGCAGCGACGCCGCGUGAGGGAUGAAGGUCUUCGGAUUGUAAACCUCUUUCAGCAGGGACGAAGCGAAAGUGACGGUACCUGAAGAAGAAGCACCGGCUAACUCCGUG